AUGCCUUACAGCUCAGCUGGUGCAAUGGAAAAUCCCGGUGCGGGUGCUGCUUACCAGCUGGCGCUAGUGGUAACUGAGUGCUUUUGCUUUUGCCCAAAUGCCUGAGAAUUUAUUCUUAUAUAUCUAGUCAUUUCAUGGACUUGGACGCGGGGCACGGUUGAGCAUGGCUUGGACAGGGUAAAUGGGUUUGUCAAUUGAGGUCACAUUUAGGGCCUGUUCGGUGUGGCCAUGUGUACUCGUUCUUUUUGUACGGAUCUCCACUUUUUUUAAAAAGUACAGCUCAAUAUGACAACUGUUUGGUGGGCAGAGCAGCUGUACUAAUAUUACAGCUUUUUUUUGCAAAGUACAGAUGAAAAAGACCAGAUGUUUGGUGGAUUAAGCAGCUGUACUCAUAUGAUUCACCAAGAUCAUAUGAAUAAGCAGUAUUUAACUUCAACAGUGUGUGACAGUGUACUCUGUAGAAUAAUGUAGAAUAGCAUUUAUAGUGGAGGUAGUUAACUAAUAUUGA
RNAcentral lists this small RNA (508 nucleotides) under Histoplasma ohiense. Its description in RNAcentral is "hypothetical lncRNA". Lineage: Eukaryota; Fungi; Ascomycota; Eurotiomycetes; Onygenales; Ajellomycetaceae. The record is from RNAcentral.